ACAGAGGUGGCAAGCGUUGUUCGGAAUUACUGGGCGUAAAGGGCUCGUAGGCGGCCAACUAAGUCAUACGUGAAAUCCCUCAGCUUAACUGGGGAACUGCGUGUGAGACUGGAUGGCUUGAGUUUGGGAGAGGAAUGCGGAAUUCCAGGUGUAGCGGUGAAAUGCGUAGAUAUCUGGAGGAACACCGGUGGCGAAGGCGGCAUUCUGGACCAACACUGACGCUGAGGAGCGAAAGCCAGGGGAGCAAACGGGA
This 253-nucleotide ribosomal RNA is filed under the name uncultured prokaryote. Its description in RNAcentral is "partial 16S ribosomal RNA". It matches the Rfam family "Bacterial small subunit ribosomal RNA", at positions 525 to 777 of the family's 1533-position model. The record is from RNAcentral.